RNAcentral lists this transfer RNA (70 nucleotides) under Nesophrosyne ponapona. RNAcentral describes it as "tRNA-Asp". Lineage: Eukaryota; Metazoa; Arthropoda; Insecta; Hemiptera; Cicadellidae. The record is from RNAcentral.
AAGAACCUAGUUUAAUUUAAAACAUUAGUUUGUCAAACUAAAGUUACUUAAAAUUUUAAAGUGAUUUUUG